GAUGAACGCUGGCGGCGCGCCUAACACAUGCAAGUCGAACGGUUAAAGCACCUUUUUGGUGUGUAUAAAGUGGCGAACGGCUGAGUAACACGUGGGCAACCUGCCCUCCUCUUGGGGAUAGCCUCGUGAAACCGAGGAUAAUACCCGAUACUUCAAUGUUUCCGCAUGACGACAUUGAGAAAGCUUUUGCGGUGAAGGAUGGGUCCGCGGCCUGUUAGCUUGUUGGUGGGGUAGAGGCCUACCAAGGCAAUGAUGGGUAGCUGGGUUGAGAGACCGACCAGCGAGAUUGGGACUGAGACACGGCGCAGACGCCUACGGGAGGCAGCAGAGGGGAAUCUGGCACAAUGGGCGAAAGCCUGAUGCGGCGGCGCUGCGUGCGGGAAGAAGGCCUUGGGGUGGUAAACCGCUUUCAGCAGGGACGAGGCGAUAAGUGACGGUACCUGCAGAAGAAGCCACGGCUAACUACGUG
Molecule: ribosomal RNA, 469 nt
Filed under: uncultured bacterium
Lineage: Bacteria
Description: partial 16S ribosomal RNA
Rfam family: Bacterial small subunit ribosomal RNA
Source: RNAcentral